RNAcentral lists this ribosomal RNA (499 nucleotides) under uncultured bacterium. RNAcentral's name for it is "bacterial SSU rRNA". It matches the Rfam family "Bacterial small subunit ribosomal RNA", at positions 28 to 521 of the family's 1533-position model. The record is from RNAcentral.
GAUGAACGCUAGCGGCAGGCUUAAUACAUGCAAGUCGAGGGGCAGCACGGGUAGCAAUACCUGGUGGCGACCGGCAAACGGGUGCGGAACACGUACGCAACUUUCCCAAAACUGGUGAAUAGCCCUCCGAAAGGAGGAUUAAUACACCGUAACAUAAUGAAGUGGCAUCACUUUAUUAUUAUAGCUCCGGCGGUUUUGGAUGGGCGUGCGCCUGAUUAGGUAGUUGGCGGGGUAACGGCCCACCAAGCCUUCGAUCAGUAACUGGUGUGAGAGCAUGAUCAGCCACACGGGCACUGAGACACGGGCCCGACUCCUACGGGAGGGCAGCAGUAAGGAAUAUUGGUCAAUGGACGCAAGUCUGAACCAGCCAUGCCGCGUGGAGGAUGAAGGCCCUCUGGGUUGUAAACUUCUUUUCUUUGGGACGUAAACCCCUGUUUCUACGGGGACUGACGGUACCAGAGGAAUAAGCACCGGCUAACUCCGUGCCAGCAGCCGCGUA